This 148-nucleotide small RNA is filed under the name Pongo abelii (Sumatran orangutan). Its description in RNAcentral is "Metazoan signal recognition particle RNA (ENSPPYG00000034172.1)". The record is from Rfam by way of RNAcentral. Lineage: Eukaryota; Metazoa; Chordata; Mammalia; Primates; Hominidae.
GCUGGGCAUGGUGGCGCGUGCCUAUAAUCCCAGUUACUCAGGAGGCUGAGGCAGGAGAAUCUCUUGAACCCAGGAGACGGAGGUUGCAGUGAGCUGACAUCAUGCUACUGCACUCCAGCCUGGGCAACAGAGUGAGACCCUGUCUCAA